RNAcentral lists this long non-coding RNA (323 nucleotides) under Nicotiana benthamiana. Its description in RNAcentral is "long non-coding RNA (NBEN_LNC013151)". Lineage: Eukaryota; Viridiplantae; Streptophyta; Magnoliopsida; Solanales; Solanaceae. The record is from RNAcentral.
CAGGACCAGAAUAGGAGAGUUGGAAAAGCAGGUUCGGGACCUCCAGUUUGAAAGCAGUUUGCAAACCGUAGCCGAUGAAGGUGACAAGCAGAAUUGACUCAAGAAAAUGCGGCUCUUAGGGCUCAGAUCCGACAAAUGAAAAUAGCUGCUAACAGCCAAGAAAGAAGCCGGGACGAUGGAAGGUUGAUAAGUGGAUUGAAAAGACAAGUCUUAGAGUGCUAGCAAGACUUGGAAAAAGCCAAAGAGAAUAUAGCAAAAAUCCAGGUGCAAUGGGCAAAGAAAGCGGAAGAAUGGGCCCAAUCUGUGCGAUAAAUAAAAAGAAA